Felis catus (domestic cat) is the source of this 8110-nucleotide long non-coding RNA. RefSeq lists it as uncharacterized. The record is from RefSeq and is a predicted model, not a curated record. NCBI's taxonomy places the organism in Eukaryota, Metazoa, Chordata, Mammalia, Carnivora, Felidae. The transcript has 3 exons.
CAGAGCCCGACAACGGGGCUCGAACUCACAAACCUCGAGAUCACGACCUGAAGUCAGACAUUUCACCGACCGAACCACCCAGGCGCCCCAAGAAGUGAGCGACUUAGAUAUACGGCAGUGGGCUAGGACCAAAUUUCAGUAAGAUUCUCCUGGUAACAAUGCCUUCCAUUUGCCAAUCUGUCAGUCGAUUUCUUCGCACUUUCUAGCUUUGGGGGCUAUCUGCCCAACGGACUCACUGCUAGCGAACAGGGCCCAGGAUAGGACUUGAGUUUUUCCUUUUCAUUGCCACCGCAAGGUCUCACCCUGUCAUCUGCGCCCCAGCACGAGGCUGACAUAUCAGAGCUGAUUUCCAUGCAGACAGAGGUCAACACAGAGCAGUCGCUCUGUCUGGUACCCGUCCAUUAUGGUGUAUUUAUACCAAGGCCGUCAGCUCCAGGCCCAUCUCUCUCAUCACUAGAAUAUAUGCUCUGAGGACACACACUGUGCUUCUUCACUGCUGCAAUCCCAAGCCUAGAUGGUGCCUCACCGGCAAAUACCGACAACCAAAAAGCUACCUGCUGCCGAAUGACCCCAGUUGUUGGCUCGCUGUGCGCACGGACUACCCCUCGUUGAUCCUUAUUUUCUCGAUGGCAGGUAUGGCUUCUCAGACCAGCGCUCAGGAAACAUUUACUGACUUGUACUGCUCAAACCAUCGUCCUCUGAAGAAAGGGGUAAGGAUCUUAAAAACCACCCCACCUGCUUCUCUCUAUUAAACCAGAUCUGGGACUAAUCAACAUGAGUGACUCCCGGGCUGUUUCAUCAACAUGUUCCCCAAAAUAAAAACGACCACACCGCCUGCCCUUUGGGGAUUGAUUUGCUACUUUGAGAAGUUAAUCUCUUCAGCUUGACUCUAAAAGUCAAAUCAAAUACCUCAGUGUGGGCAGGACACCACAUUUAUUUUAACCUAUGAAACUCUCAUGGUUGGUCACCCUUGCAAAAGGGCAGACUCUGCCCUAAGAACACACAUCUGGCAGGUGGUCCUAAAACAGAGGAACGGGCCUGAUGGGCCCCUCCCUUCCACCCAGGUGUCUCUACCCACAGCCAAACGAUGAUGGCAAAAACAGAACCCUCAAAUCCAGAAAUGACCCAUCUGUUCACAAGUCUUAUCUUCCUCUCCUACUACUGCAAAGGUGCCCACCUCUGGCAGCAGACGGGGUGACCCCAGAGCCUAAGCAUCACACCCCUUCCUGUCAACCCCCUUCUAAGCUCUCGUUCAUGAAAGAUUCCAAAAUGUCUCUAUUUCUACGAAGUCCUUACGAAAUGAAGUUGAGGAAUGACCAGGAAACAUCCUGACAGUUUCUUGCUCUCUGGACCCAACGCCACCUGAGGCAGCAGACAUCUUCUGCCUGAGGAUGAGUAACUGCUGGGCAGUUUGACAAUCAAAGCACCGGGAAGAUUUUUAAAAGAAAAGGAAGGGCAGAGAUUGCUUGAUAUUUUGGCUUGGCUUUCUGUCCAAAAAAGGGCUGACCUAGGAAUUCAGCAGCAUUGCCCACAGAUGUCGGUGGGUCGGACCCGGAGGCGGAUCUCAUGAGCAUGACCUGAAGGUAACGGACUCUUUUACGAAGUCCCCAGAAACAGGCUGGGUUUGGAUUUGAGGGUACGGGGUGAGAAUCUUGUUAGAAACCCAAGAGACGCUUUGUGGGACCAAUGCAAACGUCAAAAGAAAAUGCCUCCCGAAUGAUGUAUCUGGGCAACAGGAAGAAAGAAAGGUGUGCUCACUGAUGAGGAUUAGAACACAGAAUUGGAGGAGUCGGGCGCCCGCGCUUCUCAGGGGGCGGAGGGCAAUCUCUGGAACUUAUUCUCUCCUAGCAGCAAAGCCCCCCCCCCCCCCCCCCCCGCGUGUCCAGGAUGCGACGAAAUGACCGGCUAAGUCUGUUAGAAUUCUCGGGGAGGUGAGCUAGACCCCAAGGGACCAUCGAAGCACCGAAUUUUUCAAUUCUAUCCAGCAAUCAACCACCGAACGCCCCUCAGAUGUAAGGUGUGGUAGCCAGACCGGGUUGGGUAGCAAACAGAACGUGAACAACAGUGAGGAGGUAGACAAAGGAACGCAUUUUGUUCCGCCAUCGUGUGAUGGGCUGUGUCCUACCUACGCCUUGCCUUUAAAGAAGAAAGGACCGAGAGCCUCGCCUUGAGGGGCCCUGCCCGAGAAACUGCACCCACCUCGGCUCUGAAUGUCAACCACCUCCACAGAGCUGCACCCUGCGAGCACCUCUCCAGCGAGGAGCGCCCUGGCCUCCCGUCAACGUUUCACAUUCACUCACUCAGGACCACUUUCACUCUUGUGAUUCUCAGGGAGAGGUGAGUCACACAGAAGACAAUGCCAUUUUGGCUUUGUUGAGGGCAACAACAGGCACAGAGCUCUGAAGCCUAUCGUGGGCCACCAAGAGCACCGGGACCGUGGCCUUGAGUCCUGCCGCGCUGGCCUACCCGACAACCCGUGUUCGUCGGGGGGGGCUGAUGUGGCCGGUCAGCAGACCUGCGGCGGCCGUGACGAGGUGCUACUCAGACCUCCGACUGCAGGCAGCAGGACUGAUGGGAUCCAUGUCCCCGCUGAGGCCACACUACCUGGGGCCGCUCCCCAGAGGCAUGAGGUUCAUUCCUGGGGGACACAGAGCUGCUCCGCUGGGCGACUCUGGCAUGAGGAUUCCCCAGGAGUCCGACCAGACUUUUCUUGGCACUGAGCCGCUCAUGGAGGCUCUUCCCCACCCAAAUCCGCCCUCCCUCCCUCCUUUUACAGGUGUCAGACCUGCAGCCUGGUCUAAAAGCUCCCCGGCCUUCCCGUGCUGUCCCCCACUUUGUCCUUCAUGGACCUCCCUCACACACCAAGACAUUUCUUGCAAGUCUAAUCCCGUCUUGACAUCUACAUCUUAGCAGACCCAGAAUGACACUAACCCGGCCACUAAGAGUGGAUCUCUUCCUACUAAUCGCCCGACACCGUGAAAAACUUUGAAAGGCAUCUUCUUUGUGGUUUUCUAGGCGACGUUGGGCUAGACCUCUUUCCCCCCUCUGAACUUCGAUUCCCUCAUUCGUACAGUGAGACUCACAGAACCUACCUGGUGCGGUGGUUGGUGACAGUUCAAAAAAGGUAAUGUCCAUGAAAGAGGCGAGUGCACAGUAGGAGCUUAGCACAGGUGGUUUGAGCUGAAUGGUCAGAAUGACCUAAUCUGAUAUUAAGUAUCUUUUGUGCCCUAAGUCACUGCCACCAAUUACUGGAAUUCUCUAAAUAAAAUACAUUAACCUCUGGCCUCAAGGAAUACAGAAUUACACCGGAAAGACAAAAGUUGCAGGAUGAUAUGGAACAGUGGUAACCCGCUAUGUACCUAGCAAGGCUUCUGGACGCUUUCCCCAAACGAUUCCUUCCAUCCUCACAACCGUCCUAUGAGACCAUAACUAUUACUGCUACCAUUUCGCAGAUGAGAAAACGGAGGUACAGGGACGUCUGCUUGCCUGAGGUCACACACGGUCAGUGGCAAAGCUGGCACACACGCAGGCCGACCGGCGGCCGAGUCCAGCUCUUGACGUCUCCAUGAAACAUAACCAGGGCUUAAACAGCCUAGGAAGGCCUCCCUCUUGGGCGUUUUGCCUGGACUGAAAUGGGAAGGCAUUCCCAAGUGACAGACCUACCAACCUGGGGGUGUCACAUGGAAGUCGCCUUAGGGAGAAACGGAAGGGGUACAGCUGCUCUUGAACUGAGUCUCUAUACCAAGGAACCACUCACUGCUCAUGCUCCAGAGCAGUGAAGGCCAUCCAAGGAAAAGAGAAAGAUGCCAAGGGGCAAAAGCAGGAAUCUUUGGGACGCCUGGCAGGGCCUUUCCCAACAGAAGCUGCGGGGAGUUUCCAAGGCCUGUUGGUUGAAGGCAACGAGGACCUGUGUGGAUGCCUCAGCAGCGUGCUGGCUGACUUCUGCUCAGUGGAAACAUUUUACUUCAAAGACCAAAAAGGUGGAGCCUCAAACUGGAGACAGAGCAGGAAUUCCAGAACAGUCACCACCCAAUUCCAUCAUUUGUAGUUAGCUUUUGUUAAAGAAACAGGGACCCACAAAAUCGGAGACUUCGGGACUCCUCCAAAACGGGCAGGGGGGGCCGUCCCCAAAACAGAGGGGUCAACUUGCAAGUCGCCUGCCACCCAAAAUCCAGGUACCCGCUCGGCCUCGGGUAGCUGGGGACGGCACCAGGGACUGGGGCACACCGUGUGAAGGGUAAAUGGGCAAAGACAGCUUGCAAGGUAUUACUGCAGCUGAAUCAAGACGAGGAGGUGGCUCAGUCAGCUGUGGCCUUCAUCAACAACGAGCGGAAACAGGGAGCCUCCCUUUCCACGUUUUUUUUUAAAGACAUUUAGAAAAAAAGAAAAUUAAUAAUGAAGCCGAAUCCCGCUCCCCUGUGAUCCUUUUCUACUCGUGUCAGAUGAUUACGAAGAACUACCACAAAGUGAAUCAGGGGGCAGAAGCAGGAAAAGGGCCCUGCAGACCAGAGAAAGGGACCUCUCUCAUCCAGUUCAAAUUUCCCAAGGAGUUUCCCUCCCCCAUGACCCACGGUGUUUCCCCGUCAGUCUCCUAAACUGAGCGGCAUGUUAACCCAUUACUCCAGGGAGAUCCCUCCCCCCAAACCAUUCCACGCACCCCUCCCCCAACCCAGGACCCACCGCGAAACACAGCACAGAGAAUCAGAAUCCUGCCCGGCUUCUGAGAUGCUGGCUGGCAGCAAUGCCCCGCUUUAGGCCAAGGGGGGGUGUCUGCCUGGCUUCCUGCAACCUGCUCAUCACAGGGCCUCUGAACCGGAAAGGGGAGACACUCUCUGUUGCUGCCUUUCUCAUUUCUGAGCUCGCUUCCUCCUGCCCAUUCAGGUGCUACCCAAGGAUGCUCUACACUGAGACUGUGGUUGGCCGCCUGCAAGCCUGCGGGCCAGCUCCAGCGUUGCCUGCCCCCAGAACCUCAGGGCACCUGGAGAAGGCAGUCACUGCCCGAAAUGGGGACCAGAGUUCUAUAUUCAAGUCCACAAGUUGUUUCUUCUCACCUACAGCCCAUGCACACACUCUUACACUGAUGGCCUUCACCCAGAGACUAUAUUCCAGAGCGUGGCUUCGGUAGUUAUCCCUCCCCUGACCCCCAAAUUAAAAAGCUCUAUGCUGUUCCUAAUAACAUACCCGUCUGGAUUCAGAAUUGUAGAAAUCUCCCGCACAAAGUCCCGCCGCACUAGGAAUUUGCUUUGGUGACCCCUCUCCCCUUUCCUUAUCGGUAACUUGGGCUUAUACCAAAGGUUUCCUAGGUUGCUGUUUGUACCUGAGUACCUUGAGAUUGUUUUGCAAUCCCGUUUUCCUUCAGAAAACUCCGAUUUCAGGUAACACUGCCAAAUCUCGGGUUUCAUUCUGAAUUGAAGGGCUUUGAAGCACUUCCUUUUGCAGUGAAGUUGUUUAUUUUCAAAAACACGUUUUAGCAGUAGCUUUGGGUUACUGAACCCUAAAACUUAACUGUGAGCCAGAACGCCAAGGUUCUGGGCUUGGCCUAGGGACUUUCUUACUGUAUGACUCUAGACUGGCUCCAGGGCCAUCUGUGACAUGGCAAGAAGUCUUUCAGUCCAGAAGCAGUUCGAGAGGGUUCCAGGGGAAUGCACUGCAUGGGGCUUCGUUUUCUACAAGACUAGUACUCCUGUUUUUGGUGAUGUCUCACGCAAAAGUAUUUGGAAGUUGAACUCCCGACAGUCCCACGUUUAGCCAUAAGGAAAAUGAGGGACCGUAUUUUCACCAAUCUGCAGAGCACUCCAUCAUUUCGUUACAGUUAAUGAAACGAAAGUUAAUGAACGGCUUUGGGCUCAGCCUUUUUCAGCCCUCAGGAAGAAAAAGAGACCUUAACCACUUCAUUCACAAUUGUAACUCUGGGUGGGGACAUACCCAGGCACUGGACAAACAACAGCAUUACCACCAGGCCUGCUCAAGAAGCACCAGUGAUAGGAAGGGUGCCUUAUCUGGCAUAAUGUCUGGCCAUCCGGAAUGAAGUUCGCUCAAAGGUGACCUACAGGCCAACGACUCUAGACUGAAGCCAAAGGCUAGCAUUAUGUCCUCCAAAGAGCCCCAACCCGUAUACGUGCGGUGCUAAGUGGUAACAAGUGGGAGACGAGGUCUCUAAUCUACUGUAGGAAAGCAACUGAGGUAAGCAAUGAGUCUUCUCGUUCCUUAACAUGGACAAGGACUGCAGGGGUGAGUGAGACAACUGGCACUUGAGGUUCAAUUCGGGAGCUACUUCUGGGCACGUGGCAAUGACGCGGUCACUUUUUGUGCCUCAGUUUCCUCAUCUACAAAAUGGGGCCAGAGGAAGAGGGAACGCUAUUUGACAACACAGAAUGCUCCUCUGUAGCUACUGCAAUUGAAAAAAUAAUCAGAGACUGCUAUGUUUUUCAGGGAUCGGGGAAGCAUUUUGCUUAGGUCUACCAAACAGAUAGGAAAACACUGGGCCACUUCUCUCAGAUUGUUUUGUAAUUGGACGGGGUUCAUAAUGUAUCUUCAAACAAGAGAAAAUGGAGCUUUCUGAUUGUAUCAGUUUGAUAACCGUAAGCAGUUCACAGUAAGGUAAGAAGGUACAUUUUGGCGGAAGCCAGCGUUGCAUUUGAUGUAUUCUUAACUCAGCUAACAGGCAGCCUUUCAAGCCACGUUAUCUGCCCCCACAUCUUGACCUAAUUUAACAAGUUGCCAUGGGAGCCCAGUGAAGGUUGAUGCAAUUUUCUUAUCUUCGGAGGAAGAAUGUAACAGUGCAAGAGAAUGUGAAAAUUCAGUUUCUAACUGAUUUCCACACGUACAGUGCAGUAACUAAGACAUCACAUGAAGAAGUGAAAUGCAGUCCUUUGAAGGUGAUAGAGACAAAGACCCAAGCUCCCUGUGCGUAAUGGCAGGGAAAUGACUCUCUUCCCAGCUCGGAGGACGUAUACAUACACACUUUAGCUGAAGCCAAGUACUGGUGAUGGAAACGAACACGGCUCCUCCUGUGUGGCCACACAUACUCUGGAGUAACAGAAUUUUAAGGGAAUGAACAAAAAAGGAGAGAGAAAAUAGGUGUGACUUUAACAGGCAAAAGAAAGUUUGCCAACACUCAUACAACGCUUUCCGCUUGCCAAAGGCCUCUUCCAAACUUCAGCUCAUCUUAACACGUCUGCAUAAGGCCAGAGCCCCAUCUCUAGGAAUCCCAGGCACGUGCACGCCCUGUGGCUGGCGGAGGGGGCUGAACAGGUAUGUUCCAUCCCCUUCCCCAUCCCCUAGAGUGGACCUGAAAUGAUACGGGACCACAAUGAGCGGGCAAGGGCAAGGGAACCACCACAGAGCAUUCGUUUGCAGUGUGGACAGAUCUCCACCAAGCACUGAGCCCAGGAAAAAUGUCCCCAAAAUUUGGGCUGGCUCCCCCACACGCCUAACAAAUCCUGACCUUCAUGCAGACCACAGCAAGAAGAAAAAAUCUAGUCCAAGUCUAAGGACAAUUCUCAUUACACGAAUUCGACAAGAUCAUGAACCCUCAAGGGCUACUCCUGGCCCUUAUCUGCACUCAACAGUGCUCAGAAACAUUUGUUGGAACAACUGGUUUGUUACAACUGAGCUCCCAACCCACACCCCCCAUGCUUAGUAUCAUGCCUAGCACUCCUUUGCUUCAUUAACUGAUUUAGUGCAAUUACAUUUGCCCAGAUCUCCCACCACCAAGAUAAGGAUGAACACCUUCCACUUUACUAAAAGUAGAAAAGGGUACAAGGUAAAUUUGCCUAAAAUCACACAGUGUGGUAGAGCUGGGGGGCAGCCCAGGGGACUUCUGUUUUCUGGGCUAUUGUUCUCACCACCAUAUGAGACAGGGUGAAAAGCUGUAUCCCCAGCCAUAAAGCAAAACUGGAUGGUGAGAUGCUUAAAACGUGCUUUUAAAUGCAAGCGGCUGCUUUAGUCUUCGAGGCCUUUAACUGGCAUUCACCUUCCCUCUUCUUCCACUCACUGGGUGUUAUACUCCCUUAGAGAAAGAGAGGGAGAGAGACAGAGAAAAGAAGGAAGAAAGCAAGAGCACCUUUUAAAAACAACCCACUCAGGGGCGUCUGGGUGGCUCAGUCGG